AGAAAUGUCAUUUUGGAGACUGAAAAAGCGUCUCUAUCAAGGAGGAAAACUUCUGAUCCACUGAUGAAUCCUCGGCCUCCCACGAAAUAAGCCGACCUAUCCUUACGGGCUUUGUCUAUCAUCGGCCACAGUUUGUCACGACGUUCUCUGUCCUCCCUGGACAGAUCUUCAGCGAACCUCAAAUGAUUGUCCUGCAGGUAGGAGGAUGUUUUGGCUGCUUUCCAUACAGCAUCUCUGUAGAUUCGGGAGGUGAACUGCACGAUGAUGCCUCUGGGUCUGGUGCUACCUUGUCGCUUGGCUCCGAGUCGGUGUCGAUGACGUCAGGCAGCCUAUGAUUUUGCUCUGGCAGAACAGACUGGCAUAUCUCGAUCACCUUUCCCCUUACGUCUUCUUUCUCAGCCUCCUUGACUCCAUGUAGUCUGAGAUUCCACCUCCUGGAAUAUCUUUCCAACUCAGAUAUUCUCUGUUGGCAGUUGUCCACUCGACCUUCCUCUUUAGUUACUUUUUUUUUCCAGGUCGCAAACUUUCCCCUUCAUAUCUUUCAUUUCCGCGCACACAAAAUCAAUCGUCUUUUCAGACCCUCAAUCUGGAGCGUAUUCUCUUUCACCAUGUUCGAGUUUUCUCUCACCAUGCUCUCAAUGUUAUCAGACCUGGAGUUAAUUAAUGCCGACAAACUGGAAAUUAUCUGGUUUACAUCAACUGCGUCAGAGCUGCUGCGUUCGUACAUCACCUUCUUCGGAGCUGGCGAUUUAAGAGGUGUGACAGGGAGAGGUGGGAACUCAUCCAUUUCUUCUUCGGCUAACGUGAGUGCCACCGUAGUAGCUGCGUAGUUAUGGAAGCUAUCCAUUAGCAUGUUGCUGGGCGUAGCACUCUCCUCGUUAGCAUUCUCAGGCGCUAUCUUAGACUUGGAACUUUCUGCUGCUUCUUGCCCUAUGAUUGCUGUAUUUCACUUGUUUAGUCAACUGUUAGUGUUAGCAGCAUAAAGUUGAGGUUUUACCGUUGUUCACGAACUUUCUGUGCAGACCUCGGUAGAGAGCGUCUACUCACUCCGCCAUCUUGGCACGCCCCCUCUACAGUUGUUAAUUUUGACUGUGAUGUUCUGUGACAUCACUGAAUUCUCUUUGAUGACAGCUGUAGGGGCCGGAGCCAGGUUUCACGAGAAGUCACAAAUACACCCCAUGUACACAAACUGUAAGCGCUACAUGAGUAGAUAACUUGUUGUACUUGAUAACUUUGCACGGACAAUAUAAAUACAAAUUAAAUACAUUCAUUUAAAAAUGGCUGCCACACUAGAAUUACAGCAAAAACAACUUGAAAAAUUUAAAAAAAAGGAAAAACGCCUCAUGGCUGAAAACAAGGACCAACAGAAAAAAAUAUCUGAAUUUGUUAAAGUGUGUAGGGAACAAGUGGCGGAUAUUGAUAGACUUAAACGGGAAGCCUGCGCCCAUCUUUCUGAAAUAGACCGACUAAGAAAACGUAUGGUUAAAUGUGAGAUAAAGCCUGCAGGAUCAGAAAAGUUGACUGAAUCGGGCAAAUAUGAGAAAGAAAUCCUGGAUCUUCAAAAGAAAUGCAAAGACCUGGAAAGGAAACAUGCCACUGAAAAAAAGAGACGGGAGGAGAAAGAAAAAGACGUGGAAUUUCUGUCUCCCCUUCAAGUCAAAAUCAACACACUGAGCAAAGAAAAUGAGGUCCUGAAGCAAAAGUUAAGUCAGGUGACCGCUGAAAAAGACGUAAAAGUAAAAGAACUGAAGGAAAAAAAAGAACAGAUAAAAAAAAGAGCUUAGAGUCCAGGACCAGCUCAAAGAAGAGAGGCUAAACUUUGAAAAAAGGACAUCGGAAUAUCUUGAAGAGGCUAGCAUGUUGUUUCAAUGUAGAGACAGACUUAAAACAGUGGAGGAGCAAGCAGAGAAAUUAAAGGCUGAACUUAAAAAAUGGCAAAAAAAAGCAGAGGAGUUUGAAGAGAAAAAGAACAGGGUAACUAUGGAGAAACACGCAUUGAUAAUGAAAAAUAAUGAACUGUCAGAUCUGCUUUUGGCAAAGGACUUUGAUAGUAACAAGUUAGCAAAAGAGUUAAAAGAGAAA
This is a long non-coding RNA of Oreochromis aureus, 2082 nucleotides long. The record is from Ensembl. NCBI's taxonomy places the organism in Eukaryota, Metazoa, Chordata, Actinopteri, Cichliformes, Cichlidae.